AGCAGCCGCGGUAAUUCCAGCUCCAAUAGCGUAUAUUAAAGUUGUUGCAGUUAAAAAGCUCGUAGUUGAAUUUCGGGAUCAAUACGUCGGUCGUGCUUCGGUACGUACUGGCGUAAUUGAUUUCUCCCUUCUGACGAACCAUGAUGUCAUUAACUUGGUGUCAUGGGAAAUCAGGACUGUUACUUUGAAAAAAUUAGAGUGUUUAAAGCAGGCUCACGCUUGAAUACAUUAGCAUGGAAUAAUGAAAUAGGACGUUCGAUCCUAUUUUGUUGGUUUUUAGGAUCAACGUAAUGAUUAAUAGGGAUAGUUGGGGGCAUUAGUAUUCAAUUGUCAGAGGUGAAAUUCUUGGAUUUAUUGAAGACUAACUACUGCGAAAGCAUUUGCCAAGGAUGUUUUCAUUAAUCAAGAACGAAAGUUAGGGGAUCGAAGACGAUCAGAUACCGUCGUAGUCUUAAACCAUAAACUAUGCCGACUAGGGAUCGGAUGAUGUUAAUUUUUAAUGACUCAUUCGGCGCCUUAA
This 520-nucleotide unclassified non-coding RNA is filed under the name uncultured Glomus. Its description in RNAcentral is "SSU rRNA". It matches the Rfam family "Eukaryotic small subunit ribosomal RNA", at positions 569 to 1091 of the family's 1831-position model. Lineage: Eukaryota; Fungi; Glomeromycota; Glomeromycetes; Glomerales; Glomeraceae. The record is from RNAcentral.